CGAGUAGGGCUACACACGUGCUACAAUGGCAUAUACAAAGAGAAGCGACCUCGCGAGAGCAAGCGGACCUCAUAAAGUAUGUCGUAGUCCGGAUUGGAGUCUGCAACUCGACUCCAUGAAGUCGGAAUCGCUAGUAAUCGUAGAUCAGAAUGCUACGGUGAAUACGUUCCCGGGCCUUGUACACACCGCCCGUCACACCAUGGGAGUGGGUUGCAAAAGAAGUAGGUAGCUUAACCUUCGGGAGGGCGCUUACCACUUUGUGAUUCAUGACUGGGGUGAAGUCGUAACAAGGUAACCGUAGGGGAACCUGCGGUUGGAUCACCUCCUUA
This 329-nucleotide ribosomal RNA is filed under the name Serratia marcescens. Its description in RNAcentral is "bacterial SSU rRNA". It matches the Rfam family "Bacterial small subunit ribosomal RNA", at positions 1205 to 1533 of the family's 1533-position model. The record is from RNAcentral. Lineage: Bacteria; Pseudomonadati; Pseudomonadota; Gammaproteobacteria; Enterobacterales; Yersiniaceae.